RNAcentral lists this ribosomal RNA (262 nucleotides) under uncultured prokaryote. RNAcentral's name for it is "partial 16S ribosomal RNA". It matches the Rfam family "Bacterial small subunit ribosomal RNA", at positions 524 to 784 of the family's 1533-position model. The record is from RNAcentral.
CACGUAGGGGGCGAGCGUUAUCCGGAUUUAUUGGGUUUAAAGGGUGCGUAGGCGGCUUUUUUAAGUCAGCGGUGAAAUUUUGCAGCUUAACUGUAACAGUGCCGUUGAUACUGGGGAGCUAGGAUUUGGUUGCUGUGGGUGGAAUGUGUGGUGUAGCGGUGAAAUGCUUAGAGAUCACACAGAAUAUCGAUUGCGAAGGCAGCUCACAAAGCCAAGAUUGACGCUGAGGCACGAAAGUGUGGGGAUCAAACAGGAUUAGAUA